AAGGUGUUAGCACCCUUUGUAUCCAUGGUUAUCCAUGGGCUCUUAAUUGCUCGAUCACUUAUAUUAUUUUUGUCUGAAAAAAAGUGUUUGUGAAUUGUUUGGAAAAUUGUUUUUUUGAAAGAGAAUUUAACUUUGUAAUGAUUCUUGUAUGAAUACAUACAAAGUAGUUAUCUCGUUUAGUUUUGGAAAUUGUUUAGAAAAAUAUAACUCGGUAAUGAUUCUAGUAUGAAUAUAUACCAAGUGGUGAUUUUCUAAAG
This 257-nucleotide long non-coding RNA is filed under the name Lathyrus oleraceus (garden pea). Its description in RNAcentral is "Pisum sativum (pea) long non-coding RNA (PSAT_LNC010181)". The record is from RNAcentral. Lineage: Eukaryota; Viridiplantae; Streptophyta; Magnoliopsida; Fabales; Fabaceae.